GACGAACGCUGGCGGCGUGCUUAACACAUGCAAGUCGAACGGAAAGGCCCUGCUUGCAGGGUACUCGAGUGGCGAACGGGUGAGUAACACGUGGGUGAUCUGCCCUGCACUUCGGGAUAAGCUUGGGAAACUGGGUCUAAUACCGGAUAGGAACCAUCUUUAGUGUGGUGGUUGGAAAGUUUUUUCGGUGUAGGAUGAGCUCGCGGCCUAUCAGCUUGUUGGUGGGGUAAUGGCCUACCAAGGCGGCGACGGGUAGCCGGCCUGAGAGGGUGUACGGCCACAUUGGGACUGAGAUACGGCCCAGACUCUUACGGGAGGCAGCAGUGGGGAAUAUUGCACAAUGGGCGCAAGCCUGAUGCAGCGACGCCGCGUGGGGGAUGAAGGCCUUCGGGUUGUAAACUCCUUUCGCUAGGGACGAAGCUUUUUGUGACGGUACCUAGAUAAGAAGCACCGGCUAACUACGUG
This 465-nucleotide ribosomal RNA is filed under the name uncultured bacterium. RNAcentral describes it as "partial 16S ribosomal RNA". It matches the Rfam family "Bacterial small subunit ribosomal RNA", at positions 28 to 507 of the family's 1533-position model. The record is from RNAcentral.